This 462-nucleotide ribosomal RNA is filed under the name uncultured bacterium. RNAcentral describes it as "bacterial SSU rRNA". It matches the Rfam family "Bacterial small subunit ribosomal RNA", at positions 329 to 788 of the family's 1533-position model. The record is from RNAcentral.
UUCCAGACUCCUACGGGAGGCAGCAGUGAGGAAUAUUGGUCAAUGGCCGGAAGGCUGAACCAGCCAAGCCGCGUGAAGGACGAAGGUGCCAAGCAUUGUAAACUUCUUUUGUCAAGGGACAAAAUCAGGCUCGAGAGCCUGACCGAGGGUACUUGAAGAAAAAGCAUCGGCUAACUCCGUGCCAGCAGCCGCGGUAAUACGGAGGAUGCGAGCGUUAUCCGGAUUUAUUGGGUUUAAAGGGAGCGUAGGUGGAUUGUUAAGUCAGUUGUGAAAGUUUGCGGCUCAACCGUAAAAUUGCAGUUGAAACUGGCAGUCUUGAGUACAGUAGAGGUGGGCGGAAUUCGUGGUGUAGCGGUGAAAUGCUUAGAUAUCACGAAGAACUCCGAUUGCGAAGGCAGCUCACUGGACUGCAACUGACACUGAUGCUCGAAAGUGUGGGUAUCAAACAGGAUUAGAUACCCU